RNAcentral lists this ribosomal RNA (425 nucleotides) under uncultured bacterium. Its description in RNAcentral is "partial 16S ribosomal RNA". It matches the Rfam family "Bacterial small subunit ribosomal RNA", at positions 354 to 796 of the family's 1533-position model. The record is from RNAcentral.
GUGGGGAAUCUUGCGCAAUGGGCGAAAGCCUGACGCAGCCAUGCCGCGUGAAUGAUGAAGGUCUUAGGAUUGUAAAAUUCUUUCACCGGGGACGAUAAUGACGGUACCCGGAGAAGAAGCUCCGGCUAACUUCGUGCCAGCAGCCGCGGUAAUACGAAGGGGGCUAGCGUUGCUCGGAAUUACUGGGCGUAAAGGGCGCGUAGGCGGACAGCUUAGUCAGAGGUGAAAGCCCAGGGCUCAACCUUGGACUUGCCUUUGAUACUGGCUGUCUUGAGUGUGGGAGAGGUGAGUGGAAGUCCGAGUGUAGAGGUGAAAUUCGUAGAUAUUCGGAAGAACACCAGUGGCGAAGGCGACUCACUGGCCCAAUACUGACGCUGAGGCGCGAAAGCGUGGGGAGCAAACAGGAUUAGAUACCCUGGUAGUCC